RNAcentral lists this ribosomal RNA (556 nucleotides) under uncultured archaeon. RNAcentral's name for it is "bacterial SSU rRNA". It matches the Rfam family "Archaeal small subunit ribosomal RNA", at positions 314 to 873 of the family's 1478-position model. The record is from RNAcentral.
AUCCAGACCCUACGGGGUGCAGCAGGCGCGAAAACUUGGCAAUGCGAGAAAUCGUGGCCAGGGAACUCCAAGUGCAUCGGGUAAGACCGGUGCUUUUCUUGACUCUAAAUAGGUCUUGGAAUAAGGGGUGGGUAAGGACGGUGCCAGCCGCCGCGGUAAUACCGGCGCCUCAAGUGGUAGUCGCUUUUAUUGGGCCUAAAACGUCCGUAGCCGGUCUGAUACAUUCGUGGGUAAAUCAACCAGCUCAACUGGUUGAAUUCUGCGAGGACGGUCAGGCUUGGGACCGGGAGAGGUGUGGGGUACGCUCAGGGUAGGGGUAAAAUCCUGUCAUCCUGAGCGGACCACCUGUUGCGAAGGCGCCACACUAGAACGGAUCCGACGGUCAGGGACGAAGCCUAGGGGCACGAACCGGAUUAGAUACCCGGGUAGUCCUAGGUGUAAACGCUGUGGACUUGAUGUUGGGAGUGCUCCGAGCACUCUCAGUGUCGAAGCGAAGGUGAUAAGUCCACUGCCUGGGAAGUANGUCGCAAGGCUGAAACUCAAAGGAAUGACGGAA